GCGUUAACGAACGAGACCUCAGCCUGCUAACUAGCUAUGCGGAGGCGACCCUCCGUGGCCAGCUUCUUAGAGGGACUAUGGCCGUUUAGGCCACGGAAGUUUGAGGCA
Molecule: ribosomal RNA, 108 nt
Filed under: Cymodocea rotundata
Lineage: Eukaryota; Viridiplantae; Streptophyta; Magnoliopsida; Alismatales; Cymodoceaceae
Description: partial small subunit ribosomal RNA
Rfam family: Eukaryotic small subunit ribosomal RNA
Source: RNAcentral